AUUGAACGCUGGCGGUAUGCUUAACACAUGCAAGUCGAACGGCAGCAUGAUAGAGAUUUCGGUCUUUAUUGAUGGCGAGUGGCGGACGGGUGAGUAAUAGGUAGGAAUCUAACCUAGAGAGUGGGAUAACACGCGGAAACGCGUGCUAAUACCGCAUGAUAUCGAGAGAUCAAAGGCUGGGGACCCUUCGGGGCCUGGCGCUUUAGGAAGAGCCUACAUCGGAUUAGCUAGUUGGUGGGGUAAAGGCCUACCAAGGCGACGAUCCGUAGCUGGUCUGAGAGGAUGACCAGCCACACUGGGACUGAGACACGGCCCAGACUCCUACGGGAGGCAGCAGUGGGGAAUCUUGGACAAUGGGGGCAACCCUGAUCCAGCGAUACCGCGUGUGUGAAGAAGGCCUUCGGGUUGUAAAGCACUUUAGGUAGGGAAGAAAUGUAGGAUGUGAAUAGCAUUUUAUUUUGACGGUACCUACAGAAUAAGCACCGGCUAACUCUGUGCCAGCCGCCGCCGUAA
RNAcentral lists this ribosomal RNA (513 nucleotides) under uncultured bacterium. Its description in RNAcentral is "partial 16S ribosomal RNA". It matches the Rfam family "Bacterial small subunit ribosomal RNA", at positions 30 to 523 of the family's 1533-position model. The record is from RNAcentral.